CUGUAAUAUGCAGUUAAUGCAAUUGUUUACAAAUGAGUGAAGUGAAAUUGCUGCCAACUGCUCCCAUUGCUUCGAAAAUUAUUCUGACUUCAGAAUUAGACUGUCAGUCAAUUAGACUGACAUCAGACAUAAACACAAGGCAAAAGUGCAACGGAGAAUGUUCGAGAAUCAAAAACCCAAAUACAUUUCGUGUGAUCGACGAGAUUUGCUUGUCUGUCUUGCUCGGGGAUCCAGCUGUUCCAUAUCUCGUUGUGCUCAUGUGGUAGAUUUCUGUUGCAGAAUUCUUUGUAAAUUCUCUCUCUAUUUCAUUCCAGAAUUCUAUUUAAUUACAGUUGUUUUGGGGUUCUCUUUGGUUUUGUAUAAUUAUA
This 368-nucleotide long non-coding RNA is filed under the name Drosophila guanche. Lineage: Eukaryota; Metazoa; Arthropoda; Insecta; Diptera; Drosophilidae. The record is from RNAcentral.